Molecule: small RNA, 238 nt
Filed under: Oryza sativa Japonica Group (Japanese rice)
Lineage: Eukaryota; Viridiplantae; Streptophyta; Magnoliopsida; Poales; Poaceae
Description: misc RNA Os01g0754100
Source: RNAcentral
UAUGUGUUCCAAGCCUAUUUGGUCAAAUUCUACCUUUUGAGUUGGCUCAAGAAAGUGAAAGAUGAAGGAGAUUCUGAGGUUAGGUUGUAGCAGUUGGUCUGAACUGCUUCAUGUCCUCCUAUCGAGCAUUUCUAUGUACGGAUGGGUAUUAGCCUAUUAGGUGCUGCAGCAGUUGUGGUUGUAAGAACAAAUGUGAUGUGAGAUGAUCAGUCAAUUUGCUGCUGCAUUUUGAGCCUCU